This 484-nucleotide ribosomal RNA is filed under the name uncultured bacterium. RNAcentral describes it as "bacterial SSU rRNA". It matches the Rfam family "Bacterial small subunit ribosomal RNA", at positions 28 to 526 of the family's 1533-position model. The record is from RNAcentral.
GACGAACGCUGGCGGCGUGCUUAACACAUGCAAGUCGAGCGGUAAGGCCCCUUCGGGGGUACACGAGCGGCGAACGGGUGAGUAACACGUGAGCAAUCUGCCCUUCACUUCGGGAUAACCACCGGAAACGGUGGCUAAUACCGGAUAUGACUACUGGCCGCAUGGUCUGGUAGUGGAAAGUUCCGGCGGUGGAGGAUGAGCUCGCGGCCUAUCAGCUUGUUGGUGGGGUAGUGGCCUACCAAGGCGACGACGGGUAGCCGGCCUGAGAGGGUGACCGGCCACACUGGGACUGAGACACGGCCCAGACUCCUACGGGAGGCAGCAGUGGGGAAUAUUGGACAAUGGGCGAAAGCCUGAUCCAGCAACGCCGCGUGAGGGAUGACGGCCUUCGGGUUGUAAACCUCUUUCAGCAGGGACGAAGCGCAAGUGACGGUACCUGCAGAAGAAGCACCGGCCAACUACGUGCCAGCAGCCGCCGUAACAC